This 253-nucleotide ribosomal RNA is filed under the name uncultured bacterium. RNAcentral's name for it is "partial 16S ribosomal RNA". It matches the Rfam family "Bacterial small subunit ribosomal RNA", at positions 524 to 776 of the family's 1533-position model. The record is from RNAcentral.
GACGAACCGUGCGAACGUUGUUCGGAAUCACUGGGCUUAAAGGGCGCGUAGGCGGGCUAUCAAGUCCGGGGUGAAAUCCUCCAGCUCAACUGGAGAACGGCCUCGGAUACUGAUGGUCUCGAGGGGGAUAGGGGCACACGGAACUGUGGGUGGAGCGGUGAAAUGCGUUGAUAUCCAUAGGAACUCCGGUGGCGAAGGCGACCUUCUGGGCCGCAACUGACGCUGAGGCACGAAAGCGUGGGGAGCAAACAGG